This is a non-coding RNA of Byssothecium circinans, 110 nucleotides long. Lineage: Eukaryota; Fungi; Ascomycota; Dothideomycetes; Pleosporales; Massarinaceae. The record is from the annotation of a GenBank genome assembly.
GACAAGAUGGCCGAGCGGUCUAAGGCGUGUGACUCAAGCGACAGCUUGCCUGAUUUGUUAGGGCAUUCACAUGGGCGUUGCCCUCGUGGGUUCGAAUCCCACUCUUGUCA